AAAAGUUAGUUAAUAUAUUAUAACAUUGAGUUGUCAGUUCAAAGUAAUAUUUUUACUUUUUUA
This 63-nucleotide transfer RNA is filed under the name Livia junci. RNAcentral describes it as "tRNA-Asp". Lineage: Eukaryota; Metazoa; Arthropoda; Insecta; Hemiptera; Liviidae. The record is from RNAcentral.